Molecule: non-coding RNA, 138 nt
Filed under: Fragilariopsis kerguelensis
Lineage: Eukaryota; Bacillariophyta; Bacillariophyceae; Bacillariales; Bacillariaceae
Source: RNAcentral
GAAAAUAAUACAGCAAUGUGUAACUCACACGAACAUACGGAACACGUAUAAACGUUUUGCGAUGCCUUAUUCAUUUUGAUUUUCGUUCUCUUUUUGUUGUCUCUACCUUUAUGUAAGUGUAGGAACAAAGGGAAGAAC